UGAGGAAUUUUGCGCAAUGGGGGGAACCCUGACGCAGCAACGCCGCGUGAGUGAAGAAGGCCUUUGGGUCGUAAAGCUCUGUCAACAGGGAAGAAGUUACGUAUAUUAAAUAGAUGUAUGUAUUGACGGUACCUGUGGAGGAAGCGCCGGCUAACUCCGUGCCAGCAGCCGCGGUAAUACGGGGGGCGCAGGCGUUAUUCGGAAUUAUUGGGCGUAAAGGGCGCGCAGGCGGUCUUGUCCGUCAGGUGUGGAAGCUCGGGGCUCAACCCCGGAAGUGCACUUGAAACAGCAAGGCUUGAAUACGGGAGAGGAAAGCGGAAUUCCUGGUGUAGAGGUGAAAUUCGUAGAUAUCAGGAGGAACACCGAUGGCGAAGGCAGCUUUCUGGACCGAUAUUGACGCUGAGGCGCGAAGGCGUGGGUAGCGAACGGGAUUAGAUACCCCGGUAGUCCACGCAGUAAACGUUGUACACUCGGUGUAGCGGAUAUUAAAAUCUGCUG
Molecule: ribosomal RNA, 498 nt
Filed under: uncultured Desulfobacter sp.
Lineage: Bacteria; Pseudomonadati; Thermodesulfobacteriota; Desulfobacteria; Desulfobacterales; Desulfobacteraceae
Description: bacterial SSU rRNA
Rfam family: Bacterial small subunit ribosomal RNA
Source: RNAcentral